CGUUUAAGUCAGAUGUGAAAGACCCGGGGCGUUAACCUCGGAAUUGCAUUUGUAAACUAGGCAGGCUAGAGUCUUGUUAGAGGGGGGUAGGAAGUUUACUAGGUGUAGCGGUGAAAUAGCGUAGAGAUCUGAAGGAAUACCAGUGGCGAAGGCGGCCCCCUCGGACAAAGACUGACGCUCAGAUGCGAAAGCGUGGGGAGCAAACAGGAUUAGAUACCCCUGGUAG
This 226-nucleotide ribosomal RNA is filed under the name uncultured bacterium. Its description in RNAcentral is "partial 16S ribosomal RNA". It matches the Rfam family "Bacterial small subunit ribosomal RNA", at positions 580 to 793 of the family's 1533-position model. The record is from RNAcentral.